AUUGAACGCUGGCGGCAUGCCUUACACAUGCAAGUCGAACGGUAACGGGUCCUUCGGGAUGCCGACGAGUGGCGAACGGGUGAGUAAUAUAUCGGAACGUGCCCAGUAGUGGGGGAUAACUGCUCGAAAGAGCAGCUAAUACCGCAUACGACCUGAGGGUGAAAGGGGGGGAUCGCAAGACCUCUCGCUAUUGGAGCGGCCGAUAUCAGAUUAGCUAGUUGGUGGGGUAAAGGCCUACCAAGGCAACGAUCUGUAGUUGGUCUGAGAGGACGACCAGCCACACUGGGACUGAGACACGACCCAGACUCCUACGGGAGGCAGCAGUGGGGAAUUUUGGACAAUGGGCGCAAGCCUGAUCCAGCAAUGCCGCGUGCAGGAAGAAGGCCUUCGGGUUGUAAACUGCUUUUGUCAGGGAAGAAAUCUUCUGGGCUAAUACCCCGGGAGGAUGACGGUACCUGAAGAAUAAGCACCGGCUAACUACGUGCCAGCAGCCGCGGUAAUACGUAGGGUGCGAGCGUUAAUCGGAAUUACUGGGCGUAAAGCGUGCGCAGGCGGCUUUGCAAGACAGAUGUGAAAUCCCCGGGCUCAACCUGGGAACUGCAUUUGUGACUGCAAGGCUAGAGUACGGCAGAGGGGGAUGGAAUUCCGCGUGUAGCAGUGAAAUGCGUAGAUAUGCGGAGGAACACCAAUGGCGAAGGCAAUCCCCUGGGCCUGUACUGACGCUCAUGCACGAAAGCGUGGGGAGCAAACCGGAUUAGAUACCCUGGUAGUCCACGCCCUAAACGAUGUCAACUGGUUGUUGGACGGCUUGCUGUUCAGUAACGAAGCUAACGCGUGAAGUUGACCGCCUGGGGAGUACGGCCGCAAGGUUGAAACUCAAAGGAAUUGACGGGGACCCGCACAAGCGGUGGAUGAUGUGGUUUAAUUCGAUGCAACGCGAAAAACCUUACCUACCCUUGACAUGUCAAGAAUUCUGCAGAGAUGUGGAUGUGCUCGAAAGAGAACUUGAACACAGGUGCUGCAUGGCCGUCGUCAGCUCGUGUCGUGAGAUGUUGGGUUAAGUCCCGCAACGAGCGCAACCCUUGUCAUUAGUUGCUACGCAAGAGCACUCUAAUGAGACUGCCGGUGACAAACCGGAGGAAGGUGGGGAUGACGUCAGGUCCUCAUGGCCCUUAUGGGUAGGGCUACACACGUCAUACAAUGGCCGGUACAGAGGGCUGCCAACCCGCGAGGGGGAGCCAAUCCCAGAAAACCGGUCGUAGUCCGGAUCGUAGUCUGCAACUCGACUGCGUGAAGUCGGAAUCGCUAGUAAUCGCGGAUCAGCUUGCCGCGGUGAAUACGUUCCCGGGUCU
Molecule: ribosomal RNA, 1352 nt
Filed under: uncultured bacterium
Lineage: Bacteria
Description: bacterial SSU rRNA
Rfam family: Bacterial small subunit ribosomal RNA
Source: RNAcentral